GUUUUAGUGUGGGUAUGUCCCAUGCAACAUUUGGGAUGUACUUAUACUAAAA
Molecule: microRNA precursor, 52 nt
Filed under: Equus asinus (donkey)
Lineage: Eukaryota; Metazoa; Chordata; Mammalia; Perissodactyla; Equidae
Also listed under: 1 other name
Description: mir-1302 microRNA precursor family
Rfam family: mir-1302 microRNA precursor family
Source: Rfam by way of RNAcentral